This 460-nucleotide ribosomal RNA is filed under the name uncultured bacterium. Its description in RNAcentral is "partial 16S ribosomal RNA". It matches the Rfam family "Bacterial small subunit ribosomal RNA", at positions 338 to 795 of the family's 1533-position model. The record is from RNAcentral.
CCUACGGGUGGCAGCAGUGAGGAAUAUUGGUCAAUGGGCGCGAGCCUGAACCAGCCAAGUAGCGUGAAGGAUGACUGCCCUACGGGUUGUAAACUUCUUUUAUAAAGGAAUAAAGUGAGGCACGUGUGCCUUUUUGUAUGUACUUUAUGAAUAACGAUCGGCGAACUCCGUGCCAGCAGCCGCGGUAAUACGGAGGUUCCGAGCGUUAUCCGGAUUUAUUGGGUGUAACGGGAGCGUAGAUGGGUUGUUAAGUCAGUUGUGAAAGUUUGCGGCUUAACCGGAAAAUUGCAAUUGAUACUGGCAGUCUUGAGUACAGUUGAGGGAGGCGGAAUUCGGGGUGUAGCGGUGAAAUGCUUAGAUAUCACGAAGAACUCCGAUGGCGAAGGCAGCUUACUAAACUGCCACUGACAUUGAGGCUCGAAAGUGUGGGGAUCAAACAGGAUGAGAUACCCGAGUAGUC